This 263-nucleotide ribosomal RNA is filed under the name uncultured Bacillus sp. Its description in RNAcentral is "partial 16S ribosomal RNA". It matches the Rfam family "Bacterial small subunit ribosomal RNA", at positions 505 to 767 of the family's 1533-position model. The record is from RNAcentral. Lineage: Bacteria; Bacillati; Bacillota; Bacilli; Caryophanales; Bacillaceae.
GUGCCAGCAGCCGCGGUAAUACGUAGGUGGCAAGCGUUGUCCGGAAUUAUUGGGCGUAAAGCGCGCGCAGGUGGUCUCUUAAGUCUGAUGUGAAAGCCCCCGGCUCAAACCGGGGAGGGUCAUUGGAAACUGGGAGACUUGAGUGCAGGAGAGAAGAGUGGAAUUCCACGUGUAGCGGUGAAAUGCGUAGAGAUGUGGAGGAACACCAGUGGCGAAGGUGACUCUUUGGCCUGUACUGACACUGAGGCGCGAAAGCGUGGGGA